This is a non-coding RNA of Medicago truncatula (barrel medic), 131 nucleotides long. The record is from Rfam. Lineage: Eukaryota; Viridiplantae; Streptophyta; Magnoliopsida; Fabales; Fabaceae.
CUGAGCCGUGUGAUGGGUGACUAUCCUGCACGGUUCGGAGAGCACUUUUAGUCAGCGUUGGUGAAUGGAAGCCCCUCUAUCAAGCAAGAAAGAAGCGGCUAUUCCCACGGCGGAGUCACCAUUGACUCUAU